RNAcentral lists this ribosomal RNA (479 nucleotides) under uncultured bacterium. RNAcentral describes it as "partial 16S ribosomal RNA". It matches the Rfam family "Bacterial small subunit ribosomal RNA", at positions 28 to 507 of the family's 1533-position model. The record is from RNAcentral.
GAUGAACGCUAGCGGGAGGCUUAACACAUGCAAGCCGAGGGAGAAGUUGUUUUCGGACAACGGACACCGGCGGACGGGUGAGUAACAUGUAUGCAACUUGCCUCUAUCAGUGGGAAAACCGGGGGAAACCCGGCCAAAUACCCCAUAAAAAAGGAAUCGCAAUUGUUUUAUUUUAAAAGAUUUAUCGAUUAAGGAUAGGCAUGCGUAGGAUUAGUUAGUUGGUGAGGUAACGGCUCACCAAGACGAUGAUCCUUAGGGGGCCUGAGAGGGUGAUCCCCCACACUGGUACUGAGACACGGACCAGACUCCUACGGGAGGCAGCAGUGAGGAAUAUUGGACAAUGGGUGAGAGCCUGAUCCAGCCAUCCCGCGUGCAGGAAGACGGCCCUAUGGGUUGUAAACUGCUUUUAUACAGGAAUAAACCUACUCACGUGUGAGUAGUUGAAGGUACUGUAAGAAUAAGCAUCGGCUAACUCCGUG